UCCGGCUUAUCACCGGCAGUUCCCUUAGAGUCCCCAGCAUAACCUGAUGGUAACUAAGGAUGAGGGUUGCGCUCGUUGCGGGACUUAACCCAACAUCUCACGACACGAGCUGACGACAGCCAUGCAACACCUGUGUUCUACCCAACUAAAUGCGAGGUUAGUCUCCUAUCCUCUCUGUAGACAUGUCAAGGCCUGGUAAGGUUCUUCGCGUUGCAUCGAAUUAAACCACAUGCUCCACCGCUUGUGCGGGUCCCCGUCAAUUCCUUUGAGUUUUAAUCUUGCGACCGUACUCCCCAGGCGGGAUGCUUAUCGCGUUAGCUACAACACCGACCCGUACGGGCCGACAUCCAGCAUCCAUCGUUUACGGUGUGGACUAC
Molecule: unclassified non-coding RNA, 377 nt
Filed under: uncultured Pseudomonadota bacterium
Lineage: Bacteria; Pseudomonadati; Pseudomonadota
Description: uncultured proteobacterium contains 16S-23S intergenic spacer region
Source: RNAcentral